Molecule: long non-coding RNA, 1474 nt
Organism: Triticum dicoccoides
Lineage: Eukaryota; Viridiplantae; Streptophyta; Magnoliopsida; Poales; Poaceae
Exons: 5
Source: RefSeq, a predicted model, not a curated record
ACCACGUCGGCCGUCGCCAACACAGCCCACUCCCAUCCCCGCACCGCCCAAGGAGCUCCCAAAAUCCGGUUUUCAGCUGCGGCGGCCGCUGCUUCCCGCCGGCGACGAACUAAUGGUGGAUGCUGGUCUUUGUUUUUGCUGGAUGCCAUGACAGGUUUCCCACUCCGGGAGGAGUUCGCCGACAGCCUAGAACACCCAGAUCCGGUCCCUCUCGCUGUGCUGCGGACGGGAGAAGCCAGCGCUAUUGUGCUGGAGGAGUCAAACGCGGGAUCUAGAUAAGGGCAACAAGUUGGGUGUCGCCGGCCGGAGGAGUCGCAGGGUGGCAUGCGCCGGUGGCGUGAGGCAUGCUCGGUCUUCCCAGUCGUCCGACAGGUUCAACCCCAAGGCGCCCGAUUGGACAAAAAGGUUGCGUCUCGGCAGUGCACCACCCGACAGGAUGCCGUGCCCCUCUAGGAUGAGUGCACAAGAGAAGUCGAUUCGCAAAUACUCGGAGGAGCCAACACAAAGUGUUAUUACACCAGAACUAGGAAUUAGUUUCGACUCACUUGGCGAUGGAUAUGAUUUCUACACCUUGUAUUCGUGCGAGAUCGGCUUGGGAGUUAGGAGGAUGUGCUCCAUGCAAGAGGAAGGACAAACGGGGUAGUAGAAAUUCAUCUUAGGGGAAGCAAGCAGAGAACAGUAGAUAGUGCCUGCCGUUCUGGAAUCAGCCUGGCACAGAAUAAUGCCUGAGCCGUUCUCCAGUUAGUUGUUCCGUCUCUCCCUUAUGCUGUGGCCGCAUUUAAUGCACCCACAGGCAGGCUUCAUUUUCCGUCCAUACAUCUGCUAUACAGAGUAAAAUACAGCACUGCUUCACGCAUCCCCAUGCAAGUGAAUGGUGGUGAUUUCAGGAUCAGCUGAGCCUGGGCUCAUAAACGAAUAUCCGGUAUUUUCUGCCAUGUCUCUUUCCUUUGGAAGAGAGAGGUCAGCAACUGCAAACUCAAUGACUGAAGCUUCAAAUAGUACUGAAUUCUUCUCAUCAAUUUUAGAAAGAUAGCCUCCGGCCCUGAUUACUUCACCUUUCUCCAGUAACACCCUGUCCACAUGUUUUUUUGCAACUGAGAGUUGAGAGCACAGCUAGUCUUCUCCAUUGUUGAGAAGAUAUUGUCUACCCCUUCCAGGUCACAAGACUAAGAAAAUAAUCAACUCCUGCGAUCUCCACAACAGAAAGCCAAAAAAAGAAUGCAGUAUUUAUUUGGUUUCAGAGACAAGCAUUGUGUUUCAACCAAAGGAGCUACUUUUAAGCGUACUGGUAUUGACUGGCUGACUGAUCAUGACCAUACAGAAUAUGUGUAAUGCGUGCAUCCAUUGGAGGCAUCCAAAUUGCACAACUUUUUAUCUAAAGAAAUUCUUCAAGGUAAUCGCACAACACCCUAGAAUGUACCAUGACAAAUGUUUGAGAUGAGAAUCCCAAUGGCAGUAAAGCGCUGAUCCUUCA